Molecule: ribosomal RNA, 459 nt
Filed under: uncultured bacterium
Lineage: Bacteria
Description: partial 16S ribosomal RNA
Rfam family: Bacterial small subunit ribosomal RNA
Source: RNAcentral
CCUACGGGCGGCAGCAGUGAGGAAUAUUGGUCAAUGGCCGCAGGGCUGAACCAGCAAAGUCGCGUGAGGGAUGACGGUCCUAUGGAUUGUAAACCUCUUUUGUCAGGGAGCAAAGGGCGCCACGUGUGGCGCUUUGCGAGUACCUGAAGAAAAAGCAUCGGCUAACUCCGUGCCAGCAGCCGCGGUAAUACGGAGGAUUCGAGCGUUAUCCGGAUUUAUUGGGUUUAAAGGGUGCGCAGGCGGAAGGUCAAGUCAGCGGUAAAAUUUCGGGGCUCAACCCCGUCGUGCCGUUGAAACUGGCGUUCUUGAGUGAGCGAGAAGUAUGCGGAAUGCGUGGUGUAGCGGUGAAAUGCAUAGAUAUCACGCAGAACGCCGAUUGCGAAGGCAGCAUACCGGCGCUCAACUGACGCUCAUGCACGAAAGCGUGGGUAUCGAACAGGAUUAGAUACCCGGGUAGUC